Unclassified non-coding RNA from Gorilla gorilla gorilla (western lowland gorilla), 102 nucleotides. It matches the Rfam family "Y RNA". Rfam says of the family: Y RNAs are components of the Ro ribonucleoprotein particle (Ro RNP), in association with Ro60 and La proteins. Lineage: Eukaryota; Metazoa; Chordata; Mammalia; Primates; Hominidae. The record is from Ensembl.
GGCUUGUCCUAGUGCAGUAGUGUUUACAACUCAUUGAUCACAACCAGUUACAGAUUUCUUUGUUCCUUCUCCACUCCCACUGCUUAACUUGGGUAGCCUUUA